Molecule: ribosomal RNA, 405 nt
Filed under: uncultured bacterium
Lineage: Bacteria
Description: partial 16S ribosomal RNA
Rfam family: Bacterial small subunit ribosomal RNA
Source: RNAcentral
AAUGAACGCUGGCGGCGUGCCUAAUACAUGCAAGUCGAGCGAAGCGGGGACGGGUGAGUAACACGUGGAUAACCUCCUAUAAGACUGGGAUAACUUCGGGGAACCGGAGCUAAACCGGAUACUUAUACAUGGUUGCGCGCUGCAUUAGCUAGUUGGUAAGGUAACGGCUUACCAAGGCAACGAUGCAUAGCCGACCGGAGAGGGUGAUCGGCCACACUGGAACUGAGACACGGUCCAGACUCCUACGGGAGGCAGCAGUAGGGAAUAUUCCGCAAUGGGCGAAAGCCUGACGGAGCAAUGCCGCGUGAGUGAAGAAGGUCUUCGGAUCGUAAAGCUCUGUUGUUAGAGAAGCGGUAUCUAACCAGAAAGCCACGGCUAACUACGUGCCAGCAGCCGCGGUAAUAC